Molecule: non-coding RNA, 460 nt
Organism: Salvelinus sp. IW2-2015
Lineage: Eukaryota; Metazoa; Chordata; Actinopteri; Salmoniformes; Salmonidae
Source: RefSeq, a predicted model, not a curated record
GAGACGAACUCACACGGUAAACGUUUGCGCAAUUGCASUCUUUGCAAUUCGCAUUUCAACCAGGAAGGACUGAAAGCGAUUACGCACAGCGGUAUUUCGGCAACGUGCAUCUUCAGCUGUAUUUUUAUCCAACAUCAUGGCGAAUAAGUCUGGGAAAGCUAAAUCCAAGACUAGAUAUARCAAUGUAGAGACAAUUUUAGAGGAAAUUGAUUGUGAAAGCGAUACGGAAAUGUUAUCUGAGGAAGAUUCUUUUAGUGAACAUUCGUUUGAUUCUGAAACUGAGGCCUAUUUCUUGAAUGGAGAGGAUAUCGUUUUGGACUGUGGCACUGAUUCCGACUGGGAGCCCCCAGCACCGCCCCCAGCGCCAACUUGUUCAUCCAGCCGGACCCCUGCUGUCUCUGGGCCAUCUACCGGUGUGAAGGCACCGACAAAGAAGCGGAAGAGGGGAAGUGUGCCACCU